RNAcentral lists this long non-coding RNA (449 nucleotides) under Hordeum vulgare. RNAcentral's name for it is "long non-coding RNA (HVUL_LNC001672)". Lineage: Eukaryota; Viridiplantae; Streptophyta; Magnoliopsida; Poales; Poaceae. The record is from RNAcentral.
AUUUAUCAGCUGAUCCGCUCAAGAGAUUUUGUCCAGUUUCUGAUAGUGCGAAACACGUCACUGCUUUCUUGUGCUCUUUAACCUCCCUGAUGAUUACUGCUCUCUGGCCUUUUAUAUCCCAUGCCUGUAUAGGAAUACCAGAGUAUUAGGAAUUUUAGUAAAUAAAAAUAUUACACUGUUACUCUCGUUUUAAUAAAUGGUUUUUCGGGGGAAAACAUAGAUUAUUUCCUAAUUACCAAUUAACUAUUUCCAUGCUAAUAUGUGUGUGCUGAUUUAGUAUUAAGGCAAAUAUGUGUUCUACUGUUGACUUAUGAGUUGGAAGGUUUACUGAGAUAUGGAACAUAUCAUUACCCUGAUGGUGCCAUUGAAGUAACCAACAAAGAGCUGCCCUUUAAAGAAUGUUAUAGCAGUUGCUGCUCCAUUGCCAGGUUGGCCAAUCUCUAGGAUUU